AGCUACCCAACGUAUAUUCAAGUUGUUGCAGUUAAAAAGCUCGUAGUUGAACCUUGGCCCUGGCUGGCCGGUCUGCCUCACCGCAUGUACUGGUUCGGCCGGGUCUUUCCUCCUGGGGAUCCGCAUGCCCUUCACUGGGUGUGUUGGGGAACCAGGACUUUUACUUUGAAAAAAUUAGAGUGUUCAAAGCAGGCCUUUGCUCGAAUACAUUAGCAUGGAAUAAUAGAAUAGGACGUGCGGUCCUAUUUUGUUGGUUUCUAGGACCGCCGUAAUGAUUAAUAGGGAUAGUCGGGGGCAUCAGUAUUCAGUUGUCAGAGGUGAAAUUCUUGGAUUUACUGAAGACUAACUACUGCGAAAGCAUUUGCCAAGGAUGUUUUCAUUAAUCAGUGAACGAAAGUUAGGGGAUCGAAGACGAUCAGAUACCGUCGAGCAACCCC
RNAcentral lists this ribosomal RNA (437 nucleotides) under Lasiodiplodia lignicola. RNAcentral's name for it is "SSU rRNA". It matches the Rfam family "Eukaryotic small subunit ribosomal RNA", at positions 587 to 1032 of the family's 1831-position model. The record is from RNAcentral. Lineage: Eukaryota; Fungi; Ascomycota; Dothideomycetes; Botryosphaeriales; Botryosphaeriaceae.